UUAAUUGAAGCCAAAUAGAGGCCUUUCAUUGUUAAUGAAAUUAAUGGUUAUAUUUAUUUACCCAAUUAAA
Molecule: transfer RNA, 70 nt
Filed under: Brachyplatys subaeneus
Lineage: Eukaryota; Metazoa; Arthropoda; Insecta; Hemiptera; Plataspidae
Description: tRNA-Asn
Source: RNAcentral